GUGCACAUUUCAUUGUCUUUUUUCUUUAUGUCAUGAGAAAAGAUAUUUCUGAUGUGCUAAAUAAACCUUUGGAGGUAAAUUAGCAGCAUGACUUAAUUUAGCCAUUGCUGUCAGUCACCUUCAUACAAGA
This 130-nucleotide small nucleolar RNA is filed under the name Moschus moschiferus (Siberian musk deer). Lineage: Eukaryota; Metazoa; Chordata; Mammalia; Artiodactyla; Moschidae. The record is from RNAcentral.